RNAcentral lists this long non-coding RNA (643 nucleotides) under Rhinopithecus bieti (black snub-nosed monkey). RNAcentral's name for it is "lncRNA (ENSRBIG00000046265.1)". The record is from RNAcentral. Lineage: Eukaryota; Metazoa; Chordata; Mammalia; Primates; Cercopithecidae.
UAUUUUAUUUUUUAUUUGUUGUAGAAAUGGAGUCUCACUGUGUUUCCCAGACUGGUCUUGAACUCUUGACUUCAAGCAAUCCUCCUGCCUCAGCCUCCCAAAGUGGCUGGAUUACAGGUGCAAGCCAUGCCUGGCUGACAUCUGGACGUUUUAAAACAGACUUCUGAAAACCACACAGGUCAAAAAAGAAAUUAUUACCCUAGAGAAACUGAUAUCUGAACAGUAAUGAAAAAUUUUAUAUCAAAAUGUGGGAUGCAGCUAAAGAAACACAUCAAGGUAAAUGGAGAGUUUAAGUGCCUGUAUUAAAGAGGAAGAGAUUGAACAUGAGCUAUGCAUGAAACUCAAAAAAAGAAUGAACUCAAAGAAGUCACAUCCUAUCAAAGGAGAAAAAGAGGAGAUACAGAAGAAACAUUAGGAAGACGGAGGGAAACAAGCUCCAUUGCGUGUGGUGGACCAAGCCCCUCCGCUUCUCCCUCCGCCCUGCUUAGCUGCAGCUGGAGUUUCAGGAGCUGAAAGCCGCCGUGGUCCCCAAGGAAGGCUCGGUGCCCGACACAGUCUUGCUGGCCGCUGUGAUAAUGCCUGGUUCCCUCCCAAUGGCGCAAGAAUUGCUUCCAUUUUAAUUUCAUUCAGAUCUGAAUAAAAG